RNAcentral lists this ribosomal RNA (465 nucleotides) under uncultured bacterium. RNAcentral's name for it is "partial 16S ribosomal RNA". It matches the Rfam family "Bacterial small subunit ribosomal RNA", at positions 28 to 507 of the family's 1533-position model. The record is from RNAcentral.
GACGAACGCUGGCGGCGUGCUUAACACAUGCAAGUCGAACGGAAAGGCCCCUUUGGGGGUACUCGAGUGGCGAACGGGUGAGUAACACGUGAGUAACCUGCCCUUGACUUCGGGAUAACUUCAGGAAACUGGGGCUAAUACCGGAUAGGAAUCCUUGCUGCAUGGUGGGGGUUGGAAAGCUUCGGCGGUUUUGGAUGGACUCGCGGCUUAUCAGCUUGUUGGUGGGGUAGUGGCUUACCAAGGCUUUGACGGGUAGCCGGCCUGAGAGGGCGACCGGCCACAUUGGGACUGAGAUACGGCCCAGACUCCGACGGGAGGCAGCAGUGGGGAAUAUUGAACAAUGGGCGGAAGCCUGAUGCAGCAACGCCGCGUGCGGGAUGACGGCCUUCGGGUUGUAAACCGCUUUCAGCAGGGGCGAAGCUUGUGGUGACGGUACCUGCAGAAGAAGCACCGGCUAACUACGUG